UGGGGAAUUUUGGACAAUGGGGGAAACCCUGAUCCAGCCAUCCCGCGUGUGCGAUGAAGGCCUUCGGGUUGUAAAGCACUUUUGGCAGGAAAGAAACGUCGCGGGUUAAUACCCCGCGAAACUGGCGGUACCUGCAGAAUAAGCACCGGCUAACUACGUGCCAGCAGCCGCGGUAAUACGUAGGGUGCAAGCGUUAAUCGGAAUUACUGGGCGUAAAGCGUGCGCAGGCGGUUCGGAAAGAAAGAUGUGAAAUCCCAGAGCUUAACUUUGGAACUGCAUUUUUAACUACCGGGCUAGAGUGUGUCAGAGGGAGGUGGAAUUCCGCGUGUAGCAGUGAAAUGCGUAGAUAUGCGGAGGAACACCGAUGGCGAAGGCAGCCUCCUGGGAUAACACUGACGCUCAUGCACGAAAGCGUGGGGAGCAAACAGGAUUAAUACCCUGGUAGUCCACGCCCUAAANGAUGUCAACUAGCUGUUGGGGCCUUCGGGCCUUGGUAGCGCAGCUAACGCGUGAAGUUGACCGCCUGGGGAGUACGGUCGCAAGAUUAAAAACUCAAAUGAAUUGAC
This 566-nucleotide ribosomal RNA is filed under the name uncultured bacterium. RNAcentral's name for it is "partial 16S ribosomal RNA". It matches the Rfam family "Bacterial small subunit ribosomal RNA", at positions 355 to 914 of the family's 1533-position model. The record is from RNAcentral.